Molecule: ribosomal RNA, 445 nt
Filed under: uncultured bacterium
Lineage: Bacteria
Description: bacterial SSU rRNA
Rfam family: Bacterial small subunit ribosomal RNA
Source: RNAcentral
CCAGACUCCUACGGGAGGCAGCAGUGGGGAAUAUUGCACAAUGGGGGAAACCCUGAUGCAGCGACGCCGCGUGAAGGACGAAGUAUUUCGGUACGUAAACUUCUAUCAGCAGGGAAGAAAAUGACGGUACCUGACCAAGAAGCCCCGGCUAACUACGUGCCAGCAGCCGCGGUAAUACGUAGGGGGCAAGCGUUAUCCGGAUUUACUGGGUGUAAAGGGAGCGUAGACGGCCGUGCAAGUCUGAUGUGAAAACCCGGGGCUCAACCCCGGGACUGCAUUGGAAACUGCAUGGCUGGAGUGUCGGAGAGGCAAGUGGAAUUCCUAGUGUAGCGGUGAAAUGCGUAGAUAUUAGGAGGAACACCAGUGGCGAAGGCGGCUUACUGGACGACGACUGACGUUGAGGCUCGAAAGCGUGGGGAGCAAACAGGAUUAGAUACCCGCGUAA